AUGCUUACUUCGGCAGCACAUAUACUAAAGUUGGAACGAUACAGAAAAGAUUAGCGUGGCCCCUGCACAAGGAUGACAUGCAAAUUCGUGAAGUGUUCCAUAUUUUU
RNAcentral lists this small nuclear RNA (107 nucleotides) under Balaenoptera musculus (blue whale). The record is from RNAcentral. Lineage: Eukaryota; Metazoa; Chordata; Mammalia; Artiodactyla; Balaenopteridae.